Molecule: ribosomal RNA, 253 nt
Filed under: uncultured bacterium
Lineage: Bacteria
Description: partial 16S ribosomal RNA
Rfam family: Bacterial small subunit ribosomal RNA
Source: RNAcentral
UACGAAGGGUGCAAGCGUUACUCGGAAUUACUGGGCGUAAAGCGUGCGUAGGUGGUUUGUUAAGUCUGUUGUGAAAGCCCCGGGCUCAACCUGGGAAUGGCAAUGGAUACUGGCAGGCUAGAGUGCGGUAGAGGAUGGCGGAAUUCCCGGUGUAGCAGUGAAAUGCGUAGAGAUCGGGAGGAACAUCUGUGGCGAAGGCGGCCAUCUGGACCAGCACUGACACUGAGGCACGAAAGCGUGGGGAGCAAACAGG